Molecule: ribosomal RNA, 932 nt
Filed under: Pantoea dispersa
Lineage: Bacteria; Pseudomonadati; Pseudomonadota; Gammaproteobacteria; Enterobacterales; Erwiniaceae
Description: bacterial SSU rRNA
Rfam family: Bacterial small subunit ribosomal RNA
Source: RNAcentral
AUACGGAGGGUGCAAGCGUUAAUCGGAAUUACUGGGCGUAAAGCGCACGCAGGCGGUCUGUUAAGUCAGAUGUGAAAUCCCCGGGCUUAACCUGGGAACUGCAUUUGAAACUGGCAGGCUUGAGUCUCGUAGAGGGGGGUAGAAUUCCAGGUGUAGCGGUGAAAUGCGUAGAGAUCUGGAGGAAUACCGGUGGCGAAGGCGGCCCCCUGGACGAAGACUGACGCUCAGGUGCGAAAGCGUGGGGAGCAAACAGGAUUAGAUACCCUGGUAGUCCACGCCGUAAACGAUGUCGACUUGGAGGUUGUGCCCUUGAGGCGUGGCUUCCGGAGCUAACGCGUUAAGUCGACCGCCUGGGGAGUACGGCCGCAAGGUUAAAACUCAAAUGAAUUGACGGGGGCCCGCACAAGCGGUGGAGCAUGUGGUUUAAUUCGAUGCAACGCGAAGAACCUUACCUGGCCUUGACAUCCAGAGAACUUAGCAGAGAUGCUUUGGUGCCUUCGGGAACUCUGAGACAGGUGCUGCAUGGCUGUCGUCAGCUCGUGUUGUGAAAUGUUGGGUUAAGUCCCGCAACGAGCGCAACCCUUAUCCUUUGUUGCCAGCGGUUCGGCCGGGAACUCAAAGGAGACUGCCGGUGAUAAACCGGAGGAAGGUGGGGAUGACGUCAAGUCAUCAUGGCCUUACGGCCAGGGCUACACACGUGCUACAAUGGCGCAUACAAAGAGAAGCGACCUCGCGAGAGCAAGCGGACCUCAUAAAGUGCGUCGUAGUCCGGAUUGGAGUCUGCAACUCGACUCCAUGAAGUCGGAAUCGCUAGUAAUCGUAGAUCAGAAUGCUACGGUGAAUACGUUCCCGGGCCUUGUACACACCGCCCGUCACACCAUGGGAGUGGGUUGCAAAAGAAGUAGGUAGCUUAACCUUCGGGAGGGCGCUAC